UAUAUAGAGUCUGACCUGCCCGGUGUAUAAAAUAUCAACGGCCGCAGUAUCCUGACUGUGCAAAGGUAGCAUAAUCAUUUGUCUUUUAAUUGAGGACUGGUAUGAAUGGUUUGACAAGGACUAAGCUGUCUCAAGAUAGAUUAUUAGAAUUUAACUUAUAGGUGAAAAGGCCUACAUAGUAUUGAUAGACAAGAAGACCCUAUCGAGCUUAAAAUUUUGUGAGGUGUGCUUUAGAAUAAUUUUUGGUUGGGGCGACAGAGGAAUAUAAUAAACUUCCUUUAUAUAGAAAACUUGUGUGUUAAGAUCCAUUGUAUGAUCAUAAGAAAAGCUACCGUAGGGAUAACAGCGUAAUUUUCUUUUAGAGUUCUUAUCGAAAAGAGAGUUUGCGACCUCGAUGUUGGACUAGAGGAGCCAAAGGGUGUAGAAGUCUUUUAGGGUUAGUCUGUUCGACUAUUAAAUCUCU
RNAcentral lists this ribosomal RNA (463 nucleotides) under Malluvium sp. New Caledonia-RC-2003. RNAcentral describes it as "partial 16S ribosomal RNA". It matches the Rfam family "Bacterial large subunit ribosomal RNA", at positions 1844 to 2597 of the family's 2925-position model. The record is from RNAcentral. Lineage: Eukaryota; Metazoa; Mollusca; Gastropoda; Littorinimorpha; Capulidae.